GCCUGGGUGGCUCAGUGGUUGAGCCUCUGUCUUCGGCUCAGGGUGUGAUCCUGGGGUCCUGGGAUCAAGUCCCGGAUCAGGUU
RNAcentral lists this transfer RNA (83 nucleotides) under Canis lupus familiaris (dog). It matches the Rfam family "tRNA". From Rfam's summary of the family: Transfer RNA (tRNA) molecules are approximately 80 nucleotides in length. Their secondary structure includes four short double-helical elements and three loops (D, anti-codon, and T loops). Further hydrogen bonds mediate the characteristic L-shaped molecular structure. tRNAs have two regions of fundamental functional importance: the anti-codon, which is responsible for specific mRNA codon recognition, and the 3' end, to which the tRNAs corresponding amino acid is attached (by aminoacyl-tRNA synthetases). tRNAs cope with the degeneracy of the genetic code in two manners: having more than one tRNA (with a specific anti-codon) for a particular amino acid; and 'wobble' base-pairing, i.e. permitting non-standard base-pairing at the 3rd anti-codon position. RNAcentral also lists the same sequence under 1 other name. Lineage: Eukaryota; Metazoa; Chordata; Mammalia; Carnivora; Canidae. The record is from Rfam by way of RNAcentral.